This 72-nucleotide transfer RNA is filed under the name Ovis aries (sheep). It matches the Rfam family "tRNA". From Rfam's summary of the family: Transfer RNA (tRNA) molecules are approximately 80 nucleotides in length. Their secondary structure includes four short double-helical elements and three loops (D, anti-codon, and T loops). The record is from Rfam by way of RNAcentral. Lineage: Eukaryota; Metazoa; Chordata; Mammalia; Artiodactyla; Bovidae.
UCCCUUGUGGCUCAGCUGGUAAAGAACCUGCCUGCAAUGCAGGAAACCUGGGUUCAAUCCCUGGAUUGGGAA